This 2302-nucleotide long non-coding RNA is filed under the name Triticum aestivum (bread wheat). RNAcentral's name for it is "long non-coding RNA (TAES_LNC019890)". Lineage: Eukaryota; Viridiplantae; Streptophyta; Magnoliopsida; Poales; Poaceae. The record is from RNAcentral.
CUAUUCCAUAAGAGUGGAAUAGGAAAUUAAGAUGAGGAUGGUAUCAUCAUAAAGAAAGAUAGAGUAAUAUAAUAUCCUAAAUUCUACUAAUCCACAUAUCGUAUGUGUGUCUUUCUUUAUCUUUAUCGAUCGGGAGUAGUGAAAAAAAAUUCCUAUAUGCCUUCCCUCCCUCUUUAAUGAGGGAUGCAAAAUAAAAAAGUGAAGUAAGGGUGCCCUGUGGGUAUUUGAUCUUGCUCCCUGCCCCUUUUUUUCAUGGAAAAAGGAAAUAUCAAUUUCUCCAUUCAUUGAACCCUAGUUCGGGACUGACGGGGCUCGAACCCGCAGCUUCCGCCUUGACAGGGCGGUGCUCUGACCAAUUGAACUACAAUCCCCGCGGGGUGUAUGGCAUACCCAUUCUUAAAUAGAACCAUAAGAAGAUUCGAUUCGUCUUUCGUACUCUAAGAAAUAGACGAAUCAUAUACUACAUACCCACAUAUUAUAUUAUACGUGGGUAUAGUGAGAGUGACAUAACUAGUAUGUCGUGAUUUUUUAUCACUAAAAAUGGAUAAUAAUCCAGCCUUCAAUAAGAAAAACUCUUUUGUUUGUAAGAAAGGAAUGAGAGAGAUAUGGAUUAGAAAAAAAAAAUUUCCCUUUUUUCUUUAUCUUUUAUUUCUAUAGAUCAGACAUUUUAUUUUAUGGAAGAAAAACAAAAGGAUUUAGUUCAUACUCACGAAGCCCUAGAUUUUUGGUUUGGGCCGAGCUGGAUUUGAACCAGCGUAGACAUUGUCAACGAAUUUACAGUCCGUCCCCAUUAACCACUCGGGCAUCGACCCAGGAAGAAUUUAUUCUAGGGUUUUUGCUAAUCUAUGAUUAACCUCCUUUCAUAAUACUCCCUACCCCCAGGGGAAGUCGAAUCCCCGCUGCCUCCUUGAAAGAGAGAUGUCCUGAACCACUAGACGAUAGGGGCAUCACUAGACGAUAGGGCCAUAUACAACCGCUCGUGAUUAUACUAUAAUCAUAGUAUGAGCAGUUUUUUGGAAUUGUCAAUAUACUCGAAAAGUAUAAAUAGAUCCAAAGCAAAGAGUUUUUCCAACUUUUUUGUUUGUAAGAAAGGAAUGAGAGAGAUAUGGAUUAGAAAAAAAAUUUCCCUUUUUUCUUUAUCUUUUAUUUCUAUAGAUCAGACAUUUUAUUUUAUGGAAGAAAAACAAAUGGAAGAAAAACAAAAGGAUUUAGUUCAUAUUCAUGAAGCCCUAGAUUUUUGGUUUGGGCCGAGCUGGAUUUGAACCAGCGUAGACAUUGUCAACGAAUUUACAGUCCGUCCCCAUUAACCACUCGGGCAUCGACCCAGGAAGAAUUUAUUCUAGGGUUUUUGCUAAUCUAUGAUUAACCUCCUUUCAUAAUACUCCCUACCCCCAGGGGAAGUCGAAUCCCCGCUGCCUCCUUGAAAGAGAGAUGUCAUGAACCACUAGACGAUAGGGGCAUCACUAGACGAUAGGGCCAUAUACAACCGCUCGUGAUUAUACUAUAAUCAUAGUAUGAGCAGUUUUUUGGAAUUGUCAAUAUACUCGAAAAGUAUAAAUAGAUCCAAAGCAAAGAGUUUUUCCAACUUUUCUGUUAUGUUUUCAUCUAGGAUUUUUUUUAGUUGAUCGUUAUAGAUUAAUUCUCCGUGCUUCAUUUAGUGUUCAGACCAAAAAUGCAUCCAUCCCGCACUAAGUCAUAAAAUUCUCUAAAAAUAUAGAGAAAGUUUCAAAAACAAAGAACAAAAGUGAAUCAAUUUAGUAGAAAAGUACUCUAUCAGAUUCGAACCAACGACUUACGUCUUAGCACGAGAUUACUCUACCACUAAUUUAAAAAGCCCUUUAUCGGAUUUGAACCGAUGACUUAUGCCUUACCAUGGCAUUACUCUACCACUGAGUUAAAAGGGCUUUUUAUUUAAUUCAAAAAUUAGCCACUUGGAUUUCCCAUUAUGGGUCUACUGCAUAAUGUACAUAUUAUAUAUAUAAUAUAUAGAGAUAGAGAGAGAGACAUUAUGUAGAGAUUGUAUAUGUAUAUAUCGAUAUCUUGAGAGCUCAAAAUAAAAUUAAUAAAAAAAAACAUACCCUACAUAACAUAUCCAACUCUUCUUGGUUCAGGGUUUUCCGUUUCCGAAGACUAGUAAAAUAGGCGGAUUCUGGAACCCCAAGGAUUCAACGGUAUAUGGAUAUGGAAAAUAUAAGAUUUCCGAUCCUAGCGGGAAAAGGCGGGGAACAGAUACCCAAUAGGAUAUAGGAUCCUUGGGAGGAACUUUUGGUAAUGGCCUUGAUCCUCUAUGCUAUUUUUUAUG